ACGGAAGGCAGCAGUGGGGAAUAUUGCACAAUGGGCGCAAGCCUGAUGCAGCAACGCCGCGUGAAGGAAGACGGUUUUCGGAUUGUAAACUUCUGUUCUUAGUGAAGAAUUUGACGGUAGCUAAGGAGCAAGCCACGGCUAACUACGUGCCAGCAGCCGCGGUAAUACGUAGGUGGCAAGCGUUGUCCGGAAUUACUGGGUGUAAAGGGGGCGCAGGCGGGAGAUCAAGUCAGCUGUGAAAUCCAUGGGCUCAACCCAUGAACUGCAGUUGAAACUGUUCUUCUUGAGUGAAGUAGAGGUUGGCGGAAUUCCGAGUGUAGCGGUGAAAUGCGUAGAUAUUCGGAGGAACACCGGUGGCGAAGGCGGCCAACUGGGCUUUUACUGACGCUGAGGCCCGAAAGUGUGGGGAGCAAACAGGAUUAGAUACCCUGGUA
Molecule: ribosomal RNA, 434 nt
Filed under: uncultured Eubacterium sp.
Lineage: Bacteria; Bacillati; Bacillota; Clostridia; Eubacteriales; Eubacteriaceae
Description: bacterial SSU rRNA
Rfam family: Bacterial small subunit ribosomal RNA
Source: RNAcentral